CAGUAGCCGCGGGAAAACGAAGGGGGCUAGCGUUGUUCGGAAUUACUGGGCGUAAAGCGCACGUAGGCGGACAUUUAAGUCAGGGGUGAAAUCCCGGGGCUCAACCCCGGAACUGCCUUUGAUACUGGGUGUCUAGAGUAUGGAAGAGGUGAGUGGAAUUCCGAGUGUAGAGGUGAAAUUCGUAGAUAUUCGGAGGAACACCAGUGGCGAAGGCGGCUCACUGGUCCAUUACUGACGCUGAGGUGCGAAAGCGUGGGGAGCAAACAGGAUUAGAUACCCGUGUAGUCCCUGUCUCUUAUAU
Molecule: ribosomal RNA, 301 nt
Filed under: uncultured bacterium
Lineage: Bacteria
Description: partial 16S ribosomal RNA
Rfam family: Bacterial small subunit ribosomal RNA
Source: RNAcentral